AUGGAAUAUGCAGAUUUAUUUGAGGAACCCCAAAACCUGCCUCCACAUAGGGAGUGUGACCACACAAUCCCUCUCAUGCCUGAGCCGAGAGACGAGUUCGCUAACGAGGAGCCCGUUGAGUUUGCUUACGAGGACCAAGUCAACUCUGACAACUUUGCAGAUCCGGGAGACGAGUUCGCUAACAAGGAGCCCAUUGAGUUUGCUUACGAGGAUCAAGUCAACUCUGACAACUUUGCAGAUGCAGGGCCCGAUGACUCCGUUCCAGAUGAUGCGCUUGAGCUCAAGUGGGAGUUCGACGAAGACUCACGCCAUUACUAUGUGUCUUUCCCUGAUGAUCAGUAG
RNAcentral lists this ribosomal RNA (342 nucleotides) under Triticum aestivum (bread wheat). RNAcentral's name for it is "partial small subunit ribosomal RNA". The record is from RNAcentral. Lineage: Eukaryota; Viridiplantae; Streptophyta; Magnoliopsida; Poales; Poaceae.